GGAAUCUUAGACAAUGGGCGCAAGCCUGCUCUAGCCAUGCCGCGUGAGCGAUGAAGGCCUUAGGGUUGUAAAGCUCUUUCACCGGGGAAGAUAAUGACGGUACCCGCAGAAGAAGCCCCGGCUAACUCCGUGGCAGCAGCCGCGGUAAUACGGAGGGGGCUAGCGGUGUUCGGAAUUACUGGGCGUAAAGGGCACGUAGGCUGGCUGUUAAGUCGGGGGUGAAAUCCUGAGGCUCAACCUCAGAAGUGCCUCCGAUACUGGCGGUCUUGAGUGCGGGAGAGGUGAGUGGAAUUCCCAGUGUAGAGGUGAAAUUCGUAGAUAUUGGGAAGAACACCAGUGGCGAAGGCGGCUCACUGGCCCGCAACUGACGCUGAGGUGCGAAAGCGUGGGGAGCAA
RNAcentral lists this ribosomal RNA (396 nucleotides) under uncultured bacterium. RNAcentral describes it as "bacterial SSU rRNA". It matches the Rfam family "Bacterial small subunit ribosomal RNA", at positions 358 to 771 of the family's 1533-position model. The record is from RNAcentral.